UGGGGGAUAUUGCACAAUGGGGGAAACCCUGAUGCAGCAACGCCGCGUGAGGGAAGAAGGUCUUCGGAUUGUAAACCUAAGUUGUCAGGGACGAAAGGAAUGACGGUACCUGAAAAGAAAGCUCCGGCUAACUACGUGCCAGCAGCCGCGGUAAUACGUAGGUGGCGAGCGUUAUCCGGAUUUACUGGGUGUAAAGGGCGCGUAGGCGGGGAUACAAGUCAGGUGUGAAAUCUAUGGGCUUAACCCAUAAACUGCACUUGAAACUGUAUCUCUUGAGUGUCGGAGAGGUAGACGGAAUUCCUAGUGUAGCGGUGAAAUGCGUAGAUAUUAGGAAGAACACCAGUGGCGAAGGCGGUCUACUGGACGAUAACUGACGCUGAGGCGCGAAAGCGUGGGGAGCAAACAGGAUUAGAUACCCUGGUAGU
Molecule: ribosomal RNA, 425 nt
Filed under: uncultured Oscillospiraceae bacterium
Lineage: Bacteria; Bacillati; Bacillota; Clostridia; Eubacteriales; Oscillospiraceae
Description: bacterial SSU rRNA
Rfam family: Bacterial small subunit ribosomal RNA
Source: RNAcentral